This 66-nucleotide transfer RNA is filed under the name Bombus filchnerae. RNAcentral's name for it is "tRNA-Gly". Lineage: Eukaryota; Metazoa; Arthropoda; Insecta; Hymenoptera; Apidae. The record is from RNAcentral.
AAAUAUAUAGUAUAAAUAUUACAUUUAAUUUCCAAUUAAAAAAUUUAAUUAAAAUUAAUAUAUUUA